This 490-nucleotide ribosomal RNA is filed under the name uncultured bacterium. RNAcentral's name for it is "partial 16S ribosomal RNA". It matches the Rfam family "Bacterial small subunit ribosomal RNA", at positions 30 to 507 of the family's 1533-position model. The record is from RNAcentral.
AUUGAACGCUGGCGGCAGGCCUAACACAUGCAAGUCGAACGGUAACAGGAAGAAGCUUGCUUCUUUGCUGACGAGUGGCGGACGGGUGAGUAAUGUCUGGGAAACUGCCUGAUGGAGGGGGAUAACUACUGGAAACGGUAGCUAAUACCGCAUAACGUCGCAAGACCAAAGAGGGGGACCUUCGGGCCUCUUGCCAUCGGAUGUGCCCAGAUGGGAUUAGCUAGUAGGUGGGGUAACGGCUCACCUAGGCGACGAUCCCUAGCUGGUCUGAGAGGAUGACCAGCCACACUGGAACUGAGACACGGUCCAGACUCCUACGGGAGGCAGCAGUGGGGAAUAUUGCACAAUGGGCGCAAGCCUGAUGCAGCCAUGCCGCGUGUAUGAAGAAGGCCUUCGGGUUGUAAAGUACUUUCAGCAGGGAGGAAGGGAGUAAAGUUAAUACCUUUACUCAUUGACGUUACCCGCAGAAGAAGCACCGGCUAACUCCGUG